This 253-nucleotide ribosomal RNA is filed under the name uncultured bacterium. RNAcentral's name for it is "partial 16S ribosomal RNA". It matches the Rfam family "Bacterial small subunit ribosomal RNA", at positions 524 to 776 of the family's 1533-position model. The record is from RNAcentral.
UACGUAGGGUGCGAGCGUUGUCCGGAAUUACUGGGCGUAAAGAGCUCGUAGGUGGUUUGUCGCGUUGUUCGUGAAAUCUCACGGCUUAACUGUGAGCGUGCGGGCGAUACGGGCAGACUGGAGUACUGCAGGGGAGACUGGAAUUCCUGGUGUAGCGGUGGAAUGCGCAGAUAUCAGGAGGAACACCGGUGGCGAAGGCGGGUCUCUGGACAGUUCCUGACGCUGAGGCACGAAAGCGUGGGGAGCAAACAGG